ACGUAAUAGUGUAACGACGGUUCCCCGACCGAGAGCGAAGGGGAUUAAUAGGGAACACGGUGAGGACGACCCGAAAAGGGGCCAAGACCGUGGCUGCCCCCGCAACUGUAAGCGGAUUGCCGUUCAUCCUCGUGACGUUGAAAGCGUCAUGCCACUGUGCCGGAGAAGCGCGGGAAGGCAGAUGAACAGCAGAUAUUCGUGAGCCAGGAGACCUGCCGUUUAGUGUUGUCCAUU
Molecule: non-coding RNA, 234 nt
Filed under: Brucella anthropi
Lineage: Bacteria; Pseudomonadati; Pseudomonadota; Alphaproteobacteria; Hyphomicrobiales; Brucellaceae
Also listed under: 1 other name
Source: RNAcentral